GGCAGGGCGGUGAACGCUUUUCCCCACAGACGGGACGGUAACCGCUGCUCGUGGGUUGCAGCUUUUACCAUCAUCAUGCAGACAAAACACGGAAACUCUUAAAUAGGGUGACAAACCAGAACGUCCGUGUUUUCAACCUUGAUGUGAAGACUGUUGCUGUUGUCACUGUCAUUCUUGCUGCUGCCAGCCUUUGCGCGGGCACCUGAAAGAAGCCCUGGGGAAAACUGUUUCUCAGAAAGUGAACAGAAUCUCCCCUGGACCUCCGUCGUCUCAUUGAUGAGACAAAUCCUGAUCCAGGAAAACUUCCGCCUUUUUCUGAUGGUGAAUUUCAUCCAAGCCUUCCAUUGACCUUUCUUCAGUAACUUCAUGGUGAUCUUCGCAGAUAAUCUUGUUCCCGAGGGUGUUCUUCCUUCUUCCAUAAGGAGCAUCGAAGACAGGGCAGGCUGUAUAUGCCCACAGUUAUGUGAUGAUUCUUCGUGUAUCUUCCUACAAGGAUUAAAGAUUUAACUCUUACCUGGCUGAGGAAAUUAAAAACCUGAUUGUAUCAGUAGUUUGAAAAAAUGACACGCAUUUAUUAAGAAAUCCAAAGAUUCAUAGCCUCAGACAUUAUACAAGAUUCAGUAGAAACAUAAUGGAUACAAGAGAUGAAAGGAAAAAGAGGAAGGAGAGGCCAAUGAGGGCUGAACGAUGUGAUAAUUAAACAUUUUAGCUUUUGAAUUUUGUCCCCCUGAGCUUUCUCAUUUAAGCCUCAGCAGAGCUGUGGAAGAAAAUAAAUGACUUCCUGUGAGCAUGUGGUUUUGCUUUACCUGGGUGUUUAAGAUUCCUGUGACUGUUACAAGGAAGAAGAGUGGCUUGAUCAAGAAUUCGUGAAGCCAGAUUUCAAAACGCUUGGCUGAACGACUGAGUCCUGGAAUUCCAGAGCAUUGUUAAAAUUCCAUGGUCAUGACCAUUACUGUAGAGAGCAUGUCCUCCUUCAAAAAAUGUAUCGGCCUGCUGUUUAUUGCACCAUUUGGAGAUUUUUUUUUUUUUUUAAGAUUUUAUUUUUUCCUUUUUCUCCCCAAAGCCCCCCGGUACAUAGUUGUGUAUUCUUCGUUGUGGGUUCUUCUAGUUGUGGCAUGUGGGACGCUGCCUCAGCGUGGUCUGAAGAGCAGUGCCAUGUCCGCGCCCAGGAUUCGAACCAACGAAACACUGGGCCGCCUGCAGCGGAGCGCGCGAACUUAACCACUCGGCCAC
RNAcentral lists this long non-coding RNA (1233 nucleotides) under Equus asinus (donkey). RNAcentral describes it as "lncRNA (ENSEASG00005029929.1)". The record is from RNAcentral. Lineage: Eukaryota; Metazoa; Chordata; Mammalia; Perissodactyla; Equidae.